CCUGUUUAUCAAAAACAUGGUUUCUUGUAAUUAUUUAAGAGAUCUGACCUGCCCACUGAAGAUAUUUUGAAGGGCCGCAGUAUUUUGACUGUGCAAAGGUAGCAUAAUCAUUAGUCUUUUAAUUGAAGGCUGGUAUGAAUGGUUGGAUGAGGUAAAUUCUGUUUUAUGUUAAUUGGUGUUGAAUUUAGAUUUUAAGUAAAAAUACUUAAAUGUUAUUAAGGGACGAGAAGACCCUAUAGAGUUUAAUAAAUGUAGUAAAUAAUUGAGUUAAAUCUUAAUUUUUGGUUUUUAUGUAAUUUAUUUAAUUGGGGUGAUUGGAAAGAUAAAAUAAACUCUUCUUUGUAUUUAAUAAAUUAAUUAGUUUUAUGAUCCAUAUUUAAUGAUUAAAAGAUUAAAUUACCUUAGGGAUAACAGCAUAAUUCUUUUUAAGAGUUCAUAUCGAAAAAAGAGAUUGUGACCUCGAUGUUGGAUUAAGAUUAGUUAUGGGUGCAGAUGUUCAAUAACUAGGUCUGUUCGACCUUGAAAAUCUUACAUGAUCUGAGUUCAA
This 547-nucleotide ribosomal RNA is filed under the name Tenodera superstitiosa bokiana. RNAcentral's name for it is "partial 16S ribosomal RNA". It matches the Rfam family "Bacterial large subunit ribosomal RNA", at positions 1799 to 2614 of the family's 2925-position model. The record is from RNAcentral. Lineage: Eukaryota; Metazoa; Arthropoda; Insecta; Mantodea; Mantidae.